Molecule: ribosomal RNA, 621 nt
Filed under: uncultured bacterium
Lineage: Bacteria
Description: bacterial SSU rRNA
Rfam family: Bacterial small subunit ribosomal RNA (bases 1-526)
Source: RNAcentral
CCUACGGGAGGCAGCAGUGGGGAAUAUUGCACAAUGGGCGAAAGCCUGAUGCAGCGACGCCGCGUGAGGGAUGACGGCCUUCGGGUUGUAAACCUCUUUCAGCAGGGAAGAAGCGAAAGUGACGGUACCUGCAGAAGAAGCGCCGGCUAACUACGUGCCAGCAGCCGCGGUAAUACGUAGGGCGCAAGCGUUGUCCGGAAUUAUUGGGCGUAAAGAGCUCGUAGGCGGUCUGUCGCGUCGGAUGUGAAAGCCCGGGGCUUAACCCCGGGUCUGCAUUCGAUACGGGCAGACUAGAGUGUGGUAGGGGAGAUCGGAAUUCCUGGUGUAGCGGUGAAAUGCGCAGAUAUCAGGAGGAACACCGGUGGCGAAGGCGGAUCUCUGGGCCAUUACUGACGCUGAGGAGCGAAAGCGUGGGGAGCGAACAGGAUUAGAUACCCUGGUAGUCCACGCCGUAAACGGUGGGAACUAGGUGUUGGCGACAUUCCACGUCGUCGGUGCCGCAGCUACGACAUUAACGUUACCCGUCCGUCGGGAGGUACGGCCGCGACGGACGUAAACGUUAAAGGUAAAGUUAAGUACGGCGUUGAGACGUUGCCGAACGGACGACGACGAGGGAGGAGG